This 80-nucleotide transfer RNA is filed under the name Aneura pinguis. Its description in RNAcentral is "tRNA-Leu". It matches the Rfam family "tRNA". Rfam says of the family: Transfer RNA (tRNA) molecules are approximately 80 nucleotides in length. The record is from RNAcentral. Lineage: Eukaryota; Viridiplantae; Streptophyta; Jungermanniopsida; Metzgeriales; Aneuraceae.
GCCGCUAUGGUGAAAUUGGUAGACACGUUGCUCUUAGGAAGCAAUGCUUAUGCAUCUCGGUUCAAAUCCGAGUAGCGGCA